Molecule: ribosomal RNA, 501 nt
Filed under: uncultured bacterium
Lineage: Bacteria
Description: partial 16S ribosomal RNA
Rfam family: Bacterial small subunit ribosomal RNA
Source: RNAcentral
AUUGAACGCUGGCGGCACGCCUAACACAUGCAAGUCGAGCGGCAGCGCGAUAUGUAGCAAUACAUAUUGGCGGCGAGCGGCGGACGGGUGAGGAACACGUAGGAACCUACCCUCGAGUGGGGGAUAACCAAGGGAAACUUUGGCUAAUACCGCAUGAUUUCGAGAGAGCAAAGCUGCCGCAAGGUGGCGCUCGAGGAGGGGCCUGCGUCCGAUUAGCUAGUUGGUGAGGUAAGAGCUCACCAAGGCGAUGAUCGGUAACUGGUCUGAGAGGACGACCAGUCACACUGGGACUGAGACACGGCCCAGACUCCUACGGGAGGCAGCAGUGGGGAAUAUUGGACAAUGGGGGCAACCCUGAUCCAGCGAUGCCGCGUGAGUGAAGAAGGCCUUCGGGUCGCAAAGCUCUUUAGGUUGGGAAGAAGAGUGAUGGAGGAAAUGCUAUCACUUUGACGGUACCGACAGAAUAAGCACCGGCAAACUCUGUGCCAGCAGCCGCAGUAA